UACGUAGGGGGCAAGCGUUGUCCGGAUUUAUGGGGCGUAAAGAGCGUGUAGGCGGCCAUACAGGUCCGUUGUGAAAACUCGAGGCUUAACCUCGAGACGUCGAUGGAAACCGUAUGGCUAGAGUCCGGAAGAGGAGAGUGGAAUUCCUGGUGUAGCGGUGAAAUGCGCAGAUAUCAGGAAGAACACCUGUGGCGAAGGCGGCUCUCUGGGACGGUACUGACGCUGAGACGCGAAAGCGUGGGGAGCGAACAGG
RNAcentral lists this ribosomal RNA (253 nucleotides) under uncultured bacterium. RNAcentral's name for it is "partial 16S ribosomal RNA". It matches the Rfam family "Bacterial small subunit ribosomal RNA", at positions 524 to 776 of the family's 1533-position model. The record is from RNAcentral.